RNAcentral lists this ribosomal RNA (253 nucleotides) under uncultured bacterium. RNAcentral describes it as "partial 16S ribosomal RNA". It matches the Rfam family "Bacterial small subunit ribosomal RNA", at positions 524 to 776 of the family's 1533-position model. The record is from RNAcentral.
UACGUAGGCAGCGAGCGUUGUUCGGAGUUACUGGGCGUAAAGAGUGCGUAGGCGGUUCUCUAAGUUUGGUGUGAAAUCUCCCGGCUUAACUGGGAGGGUGCGCCGAAAACUGGAAGGCUUGAGUAUGGGAGAGGUAAGCGGAAUUCCUGGUGUAGCGGUGAAAUGCGUAGAUAUCAGGAGGAACACCUGCGGUGUAGACGGCUUACUGGACCAUAACUGACGCUGAGGCACGAAAGCGUGGGUAGCAAACAGG